Molecule: ribosomal RNA, 406 nt
Filed under: uncultured bacterium
Lineage: Bacteria
Description: partial 16S ribosomal RNA
Rfam family: Bacterial small subunit ribosomal RNA
Source: RNAcentral
AUUGAACGCUGGCGGCAGGCCUAACACAUGCAAGUCGAACGAGUGGCGGACGGGUGAGUAAUGUCUGGGAAACUGCCUGCUGGCGGUGGAUAACUACUGGAAACGGUAGCUAAUACCGCAUACCAUCAGAUGUGCCCAGAUGGGAUUAGCUUGUUGGUGGGGUAACGGCUCACCAGGGCGACGAUCCCUCGCUGGUAUGAGAGGAUGACCAGCCACACUGGAACUGAGGCACGGUCCAGACUCCGACGGGAGGCAGCAGUGGGGAAUAGUGCACAAUGGGCGCAAGCCGGAUGCAGCCAUGCCGCGUGUAUGAAGAGGGCCUGCGGGUGGUAAAGUACUUACAGCGGGGAGGCGUUACCCGCAGAAGAAGCACCGGCUAACUCCGUGCCAGCAGCCGCGGUAAUUC